RNA transcript from Diabrotica virgifera virgifera (western corn rootworm), 2788 nucleotides. It is a transcript of the gene named zinc finger protein 227-like, with no coding region annotated. The record is from RefSeq and is a predicted model, not a curated record. NCBI's taxonomy places the organism in Eukaryota, Metazoa, Arthropoda, Insecta, Coleoptera, Chrysomelidae. The transcript is spliced from 4 exons.
UUUCGUUUGUUGUAAUGUAAAUCUACAUGUAAUGUAAAGUGUGUUUCUUUACUAAAUGGAAUUGUUAAAGUGAUUUCGUUUUUUGGGUGUAAAAUUAUUAACGAAAUAUAUAAAUCCAAGUGUAAUAAAAUGGAAGUAAAACAAGAGAUUAGUGAUGAAACGUGUAAUGUAAAAGUAGAGUCUAAUGACCUGGAUGAUGCUCCUUCGGUGGGCUUUAAAUGUGAAAUCAAGGAAGAAAACUAUAGCCAAAGUACACAUGGCACAUAUGAUUAUUUAGACUUAAAUGAACAACCCAUCAAAACUGAAAUAGAAAAACAUGGGAAUAAUUUUAUUCCAUUUGAAGAAAACCAAAGAAAUGAAAAAGAUUUUCUCCAAAAUAACAAAAUGGAGAUCAUGGAGGCACUAAUUGAACAUUCAUCUCACGAAGGAAAUUAUAUGAAUCCACAUGUCGAAGGAAAAACAUUAAAUAAAAAUAGGAAAAUUGUGACUGGAAAAAAAUCUCACAAGUGUGAAGUUUGUUUUAAGCAAUUCAGUCGCUCAAGUAAUUUGAAAAUACAUUUGAGAGUGCACACUGGAGAAAAACCUCACAAGUGUGAGAUUUGUUUUAGGCAGUUUUCUCAGAAAGGUACCUUGGAAAGUCAUUUGAUAGUGCACACAGGAGAAAAACCUCAUAAGUGUGAAAUUUGUUUUAAGGGAUUUACUCAAGCAGGUGAUUUGAAAACACAUUUGAGAGUUCAUACUGGAGAAAAACCUCACAAGUGUGAAAUUUGUUUUAAGCAGUUUACUACAUCAAGUUCUUUAAAAAUACAUUUGAGAGUGCACACUGGGAAGAAACCUUACAAGUGUGAAAUUUGUUUUAAGCAAUUUACUAACGCAGGUAGUUUGAAAAUUCAUUUGAGAGUGCACACUGGAGAAAAACCACACAAAUGUGAAAUUUGUUUUAAGCGAUUUAGUCAAUCGAGUGAUUUGAAAACACAUAUGAGAGUACACACUGGAGAAAAACCUCACAAGUGUGAAAUUUGUUUUAAGCAGUUUUCUCAGAAAAGUAACUUGGAAAGUCAUUUAAUAGUGCACACAGGAGAAAAACCUUAUAAGUGUGAAAUUUGUUUUAAGGGAUUUACUCAAGCAGGUGUUUUGAAAGCACAUUUGAGAGUCCAUACUGGAGAAAAACCUCACAAGUGUGAAAUUUGUUUUAAGCAGUUUACUACAUCAAGUUCUUUGAAAACACAUUUGAGACUGCACACUGGGAAGAAACCUUACAAGUGUGAAAUUUGUUUUAAGCAGUUUUCUCAGAAAAGUAUCUUUGGAAGUCAUUUGAGAGUGCACACAGGAGAAAAACCUUAUAAGUGUGAAAUUUGUUUUAAGGGAUUUACUCAAGCAGGUGAUUUGAAAACACAUUUGAGAGUCCAUACUGGAGAAAAACCACACAAGUGUGAAAUUUGUUUAAAGCAGUUUAGUACAUCAAGUUCUUUGAAAAGACAUUUGAGAGUGCACACUGGAGAAAAACCGUACAAGUGUGAAAUUUGUUUUAAGCAAUUUAUUCGAGCAGAUCAUUUUAAAACACAUUUGAGAAUACACACUAGAGAAAAACCUUACAAGUGUGAAAUUUGUGUUAAGCAAUUCAUUCAAGCGAUUGAUUUAAAAAGACAUUUGAGAGUGCAUAGUGGAGAAAACUCUUAGUCCCGGUGUUCAUGAGCGGAAUGUUGCCAUCAGUCCGUUAGGAAAGUUUCCGUGCGACCAGCGACCGCCGUUGUGAUGUUAUGACUGGAGGUUCUAAUCGGGAGGUACACAUUAAGGUACGUUUUUACUGACGCUGCUGCCUCCGUAAUCGCUGAAAGAUCUUCGCUGAACAUGGUUGCACAAUUUUGGGGUAAUUUGAAAGCAUCUAGGGGAAUUUUUCUAAGCAGAAAUGGUUAGGGGAUUUUUUUGGGGGUAAUAUUAUGGAGAAUUUUAAGGUUUCAUGGUAAAUUAAAUUUGCGAAUGUACAUAGAACUGUAUAUUAUACUCUCAUACUAUAUAUUCGAAGACGAUAUGGCCUAUGAAUUAUUUCCAGUUCCCGCUGUUGAUAAGUAGUGUAACUUUGGUUUACUGUUCUUUACAUAUGACUACUAAAUGCGGCAAAAAUUUAAAUUUGGGGGAUUUGAGCUUUAAUUUGAGGGAAUUUCAGUUUCUAAAUUUAUUAAAUGUGUGAGUUUUAUUAAAUUACAUCUGGCAACUCUGUAGCUGAGCCGUGAGUGAGGUGUAUCUGGUUGUGCGUGUGUUUGUAUGGUUUGUAAAGAGCUGGGCCCUGAUUCUAAAUCAAAUUUCGACCAAAAACAAGUCGCUUUCAAUAUGGCGACAGUUGAAAUGCGAUUGUGCGAGCCUUGUGGAUUUUAGUUGAACUAACGAUGUGACGUCAUGAAAUAGCGACUAUCGAAAUUAAUAGCGACUUUAAAAAGGGUGUUGAUAGGGAGUUUUUGUGCACACAAAUACGUAAACGUAACGCAUCUUUUUGACAUAUACGCUUGCGCAUUAAUGGUUGAACUCCCGUAUCGCGAUACGUAUUACCUAAGGUUACGGGCUGGUACGUUAGGUUCAUACGCAUCCCUAUCGAGCCGAAAGUCACCGAAUGCACACGAGGAUCUUGCCCGAUUACCUACCAAAUGAACAUUUCAUCAGCGUACUCGUACUAUCCGUUUAUAAACAUUUUAAGGUUAUAUUGGUUAUUGUGAGUAAAAUUAUUCUGUGUUUGUAAUUGGAAAUUGGAACUUCAUAAUAGAUUUAAAAUUUUAUUGUUUUUAAGUUGUCU